Molecule: non-coding RNA, 18763 nt
Organism: Rattus norvegicus (Norway rat)
Lineage: Eukaryota; Metazoa; Chordata; Mammalia; Rodentia; Muridae
Source: RefSeq, a predicted model, not a curated record
GUCAGAUGCAAGGCGGAAGUGGAAGCUGGAUGCCCAGUUUCUGCUGGAAAAUCUGCAGAAGCACCAGCCUGAAUGCUUGUGUCUGAAACCUUCCUAGCUGAGUCUAAAAGGACCACAAGCUGCAUGUAACUGUUCCGGUGAGGUGACACUGAUCCUCAGGCCAGCUCCUGGGACCCCCCAAAAGCCUCCAGCGUGCUCAUCUUUGAGCCAGAUAAGUAUAUGAGGGACACCAGAGGCAAACCCGUGAGGAAGAACCCACCCUGCCUGUCCGCUGCAGGCAGGCCUGGCCUGUGCAUGUCAGAGGGAAGCAAAGACUCUCCUGAGGGUUAUUUUUGUGAUUUGCUCUCUCUGAAUGCGAUUGUGCCCUGGCUUUUCCCACUUGGAAUUAGGAAGUAUGCAAUUCUGUUUCCAGGAUUUCUGUGCCAGGGAAUGAGCUAGACCACAGCCAGCACCACCAUCACAAAAGCAUUGAAGCAGGGUGGGGGUGGGGCUUGGACGCAUACUCGGAGCCCUGUGGUUCUAGCAGCGUAUUCCUGAUAGCUAAAAGAUGGACAUGAGCCAAUUCCCAUAGGGAGAUGAGGGGGCUGGCACCUCGCAGUGGAAUAUCACUCAGCUGACAUCCGAGAUCUGAAGUGACACAGGCCACAACCUGAAGGAUCUUGAAGGCACUAUCGAGAGUAAAGUCAGCAGAGUGGAUGUGUAUUACAUGGGUCCACUUAAGUGGGCCACCUACUGUAGUCAGAAGCCAGAGACAGUAGAUGGUGGUUGGCAGCAGGGACCUGUGUUGCUUACAGGGUACAGAGCUCCAGUUCUGGGUGAUGCAAAGGUUCGACAAUGAGUCAUAAUGGUGUUUAUGCAGCAUUGUAAACGGUGCCACUGACCCGGGUUCCUGAGAUGGUUAAAAUGGCAAGGUCUAUGUAAAAUUUAACACCACCACCACCACCACCACCACCACCACCACCACCACCACCCACACACACACACAGAGAGAGAGAGAGAGAGAGAGAGAGAGAGAGAGAGAGAGAGAUCAUGAGAUCAUGGGAAUGAGGUACCUGUGGGGACUUGUGAGGUGAGCUGGGGUCUGUGGAGCUGUGCCCUCUUGGAGUUCAAGGGUCACCCCUGUAUCCUGGUCAUAUCUCGGGGCUGUGGGUGAAUGCUCAGAUUUGAGGCUUUGAAUGCCUGGAGGAGAUGCUUGAUUGAGAGAAGCUCCCAGAAGCCCUCUAAGUCAAACCCACCCUGCACUAAACCCCGAUAUGAAGGGGAAGAAGGGCUGCUUCACUAGGUCCAGCCCAAUGAACAAAGAAGGGUGUUAGUGCCUGGCACUCUCAGCCAUACUGGGCCACGGGCAUCGGGCAAUUUCCAGCAGGUGGGUGUAAUGUGUGUAGGGACUGGGCUUUAUUUAUCACACCAGCAGUAGGGAAUUCUCCAACGGGGCGAGGGGCUGACUUUCUCCCCUUCCACCUAGAAGUUUCCAUAUGUGUUGCCUAUGUGGCCAGGCUGUUCUGUACCGCCUCCUCCACUCUCAGAAUCUGGAUUUGUUUUUGCUAACCCCAGGUCCCCACUGCAGCCUCAGUCGCACAGCAUAGUCUUGGGCAUCCGUUCACCCUGUGUGCAUCAGCAGGCUCUCCUGAGGUCUCGGCUUUCCUCCUCUGUACAAUGGGAACAGUGAGAGUUCUCUAGUUCUCCUAAGCGGGUGAUGGCUCCCUGUAGCUGGUAGCAGGUGUCCGACUCAACAAAUGGUGGCUGUAAUAGUUAUUAUCUUCCCCUCAAAGCAAAAUGCUCCAUGUCUCUCUGGCCUUGGCUCUGUGGAAUUGAGAGCUGUUUGUUGUCAGCAAACAAAGCGCAGCCUGGGAGGAGGCAGGGUGAGGAGAGGGAGCAAGGGAGGGUGCUGCCUGGAGUCCUUGACGCUGGCUUCCAUUGCUCCAAGCACUGUAGCUUCAGCUGGGUGCACCUUGCACUCGGCCAGAAUUCAGCAGCAAUUCACGUGAGGGGCAGACACAGAUAGCAUAGGCUCCGAGAACCUGUAGAUACGAUGUGUGUGUGUGUGUGUGUGUGUGUGUGUGUGUGUGUGUGUGUGUGUGUGUGUGUUUGCAAUUAGGGAAGGACAUCCCCCUUAUUGGGGGGAUGGAAAUGGCUCAAAUGUGCCAAGCGUGUCUGAGGGAACUCUACUGGAUACUGAGGGGCUAGCUGAAGCCAGGUACCCUCCGGAGCCUCUGAGGAAGGUACGCUUUCUCUGCUGGCUUGGUCUCAUCUCCUCUGUCAGGUCUCUUAUGAAGCUAGAGCUGCCAGCCCUAGGUAGGUAGACUCUUCAGGGGCUCAGUGAGCUUCAAAGUGAGGUUCCCAACAGGGAGGUCUUCCAGCCCUGGGAGUGUGAAAAUCAUGUCCUCAGCUCCUCCCCCAGCCCGUGGGGGAGCACACCAGUGAAUAUCUUCAUCAGGUCAGCUGUGACUACUUGCAGGGGACCCUACAGGUGGGACCUGUUGACUCUAGGAGUAGGGAGGGUCAUGGGCCAUUGGAGCCUCACCUGAGAUUCUAUCCAUUCCCUCAUGCACCUCCCAGCUGGCUGUAUGUGGUUCGGCCCUCAAUGUCCAUGACUGCGAGAUCGCAGGAGGCCCCAGUGGGGGCUGAAGAGUUGCUGAAGGCGGGACUCCAUCUCUGUAGCUAGGCAGAAAUGCUUUGGGAUGGCCUACGUCUGAGACAUGGAUACCAGAAGAAUUUCUCUUUUUCCUUCACGGAUGCAAGCUUGGGCCUGGUGUAUGCAAGGGACAAGAAAGUGAGAUGCAGGACAGAGAACAAAUUAGAAUUCUCCUCAGUCGGCCAAUCCAGGAUGGACACAUUGCAGCUUUAUUAUCCAGGAAGGAGAGACAUAGCCAUCUGCUCACCACCGGUCCUUCCAGCUCCUAACACACUUCAACACACAUUGAUACGAAACAGCCGCUACUCAGUUAAACAACGAAACUGAGGGUGUGAGUGCUUUUCUGGAACAUACCCCAACCUGCAGGGCCAGUCUUCUUCCUGAGGAAGUGGUCUGGUAUGCCAGAUAAGUGCUCUGUCACCGUGCCAUGUCCCCAGACUUGGAAGUGGCCUGGUGGCUUCUUAUUGUUCUCAUUGGCCAAAUGGAAUUAUUAUUUCAAAUUCAAAGAGCGAUUAGAGGAAGUGUCUAGCAAGUGUGCUGGUGGAGAGCAAGCCCCAGACAUCUCCCCGACGGUGCCCGCUCCUGCCCUUUCUGCUCCCUGGCAUGGCGCAGCCACUAGAACCCAUGCUUCGGCCCUACCGUCUACCACAGUUCUGUAUCUCUGCCCCACCUCCCUGUCGGAAUGCUCUCAUCAACAAAGUGCUUUGUGAAGAAGUGAAAAAGAACACAGGAUGCAGAGAACAAAGCUGGGCAGUAAGUGUCAGGAGGGUUGAAUAACUCCCCAAAACUCUACAAAUCUCACCAACUUUAUCCCAGCACCUAUGCCCACAGACACGACCCUCCAGGCCAGCCUGGCUUGUAUCUUCCCAGGACUCAAUGGGCUAGUCCCAUGCUGUGGCUAGCCAACGGAAUGUCGUUUCUGAGAGAUUCUGUCAUCCAGCUGGGUAGCCCCAUGGCUCACCCUGCCACUCAGAAUGGUCAGAAUACUGGACUAAUGCGGGGAGAGGCAAUUCCUGAGCCCCCCACCCCAUCAGAGGGUCUGAUCACAGGUUCGUCACUCAGCACAGGAUGUGUGCCCGUGUGCAGGUCCACCAAGUACACUGUCAGUGUUUUGAGGAUCACCCUCCACAUGGCUGAGCAGGCCCGGCAAGGUGAAUGGUGGGGAUGUGAGCUGGGCCAAGUUCUGAGCAGCAAUCCCAUCCGUGCCUGACCAUGCACAUCCUGACCUUCUAUUGCCUCAGUGCACCCCGACUCUACAACCCGCUCAACAAUGGCUUCCAAUCAUGUGAUAUUUGCCCAGGUCCAUCACUCACUGUACAGCCACUUGGCCCCUCCCCAAGGAUAGGGUCAGGACAAACCCUCCUUGCAAUCUAACCCCCACCCAAGGCGAGGCCCACAGGGGGGAGAGCAGUCCCCUCUUGGGAAGCUGAGUGUCUCUGCACAGCUGCACUCUGCUCCCCAUGUGUGGUUUGUUGUGAUAAGGCCAGCAAAGCAGCCAGCCUUGAAAAUGCCAUUUAAUGAGAAAAGACCCACGCUGCUGCCACGGUGCUCGUGGGGGGUGUCUGGCUGCAUUAAAUGCUCCCCGGUAUCAUUGUUUUGUGCUGGGUUUCUAGGUUCGAGUUACCAUUCCAGCUCACGCGGCCAACCUGACAGCAGAUAUUGAUGGACAUUAGCCAAGCUGUUCCCAGGGAAUUUUAAUUACCACAACAACAAUCGCUAAUCACAGCAUUUCCUAAACGGCUGUGGCUGGAGCAGUGGAAAUUGCCCAGGCUCUGGUGGAAGGAAGGGGACAGGCUGGGGAGGUGACUGCUGGCAAGGAUGGAGGAAGGGCGGCUGAGAAGCCCCAGUCUGCCCAUUGCUUAGCUGGUGUGACCUGGGCUGCACACCUCAGUGCUCCCGGUGUGUCUCACUGACUUGACUGGCUUGCCCGUACUCCCUGACCCUCAUCCCACAAAUAAAGGAGAUGGGGCCAUCUGACCUUGGCACAUGCUGUUCCUAACACUUGUAAGGCCUGCAACCAGGUCUCCCAUAGGACAUGCACAUUCCCCGGGAAGUCAUUCAUGCCAGAUCUUGCAGAAUCAAGGCCCUUUUGCUUCCAAGGCCAUAGGGUGCCACUCGGACAAGUUCAUGCUUGUCUCUUGUUUGCAUGUCUGCCCCCUGCCCCCGACUGCCCCCCCCAAUGCCCCAUGUUUCUGUCUUUGUCUUUGUCUCUAUUGCCUUUGAGAUAGGGUCUCACUGUGUAGCUCUGGCUGGCCAGGACUUUGCUAUGGAGUCCAGGCUGGCCUCAAAUUCUGAGAUGGGCCUUCCUCUGCCUCCUGAGUUCGGGGAUUAAAGGUGUGUAUCUUCAUGUACAGCUUUGAUCAUUCUUUUGACUUGGACCCUGAGCUCUUCAAGGGCAAGGCUGUGCCUGAGCCAUCCCCGAACUUCAUGAGGAACCCGCUAUGUGAGUGAUGGACAGAACGGAUAAAGUACAGCAAACAGUGCAUGGGCUUGCAUCUUCUGCUACACAAGCUCCAGGCUGACCCAGCCUGGAAAGCAACAGGAACUGGCCCUUGCCAAUACGGUCCUCUUAAUACUGUGGUCAUUUUAAAGGUCUACCUGCUAUGGUAGAGGAGAGACAGCUUGCCCUAAUCUGACUUGAGCAUGCACAUGCAUGCAUAUACAUAUGUACAUACAUACACACUUAUCUACACACACAGAGGAAGAGAUAGACAGAGGCAGAGUGGUUGAGUGAGUGAGCUCUGGUUCCCUGGGAGCUACCAGACAAACUAAUCUUCACAACCCUGCCUCCUGCCAUCCUUCACAUACCUUGCAGUCAAAUACAGCUGUUUCCCCUCCUUUGAACAUUAUCUGAACUCUUCUAUUAUUUUCUAACCUUCAAACCUCUGUAGAUGUUCCUCUUUCCUUCUUCCAAUGAGUGCUUACUUCACUAUUGGGAAAUCACUUUUAUCUAGAACUUUCCAGAGAAAGAAAGCCUCAUCUCUUUCUCUCCACUGUAAGACAUAGACUUGUACCAUGACCACCUCUGUACCUGCCUGUUUCCUGGUGGGUGGGAAGUUCUGAGACAACAGGAACCACCCAGAGGUACCCUGACCCCCGAUUCAGGAUAAGAAGCCCCAUGAAGAGCUCUGUCACAGCAACCCAGUGUUUUCUGUCCCCUUAGUACCCUCCACCCAGGUGCCAGACAAGACCCCAUGUGAAGGCCCUAGAUCAGGAAAUACUCAAGGCAGCCCACCACUGUGGCUGGCACCUUCCCUUGGCCUGGUUGGCCCCAUUCCUCGUAAUCUGUAAGUAAUAAGCUCAUCUUUUCACAGUAUCACCCAGGCACCUCUGUAAACUAGGACAUGGGUACAAAUUUUCAAGCUUGGAUUAAUGGCAGGAGGCGAGAGAGGCAACAGAGCAGUCGAAGCCAGGCAGCUCCUCACCUCUCACAGCAUGAGUCAAGAGCGGGCAUCUUGUGUUGAUGAAUCACACAGAGCAUGACAAGACCCAGCACGUGAACGACAGCCGCCAGCCACCGUGGGCUAGGUGAGGCAGGCCUGGUGUGCGGCUUCCUCUACUGGCUGACACUUGGCCAAACAAUUGGCUUUUUUCCCCUCCCUUCUAAACCACAUUGCACUCCUCUGAUUAAAGUGAAAGCAUAAAGGGUCUGAAAUUGAAUGUUGAUGUUAUUCAAUCCUUGGGCUGCAUGGCAGGCAUGUGGGGAGCUGCAGUGUCUGGCUGGAAUACUGACUCUGGAUGUGGCUUCAGGGUGAGAAGCUAACGGCGUAGGAGAGGAAAGGAAUGCAGUAAUUGAAAUGUAUUUUGUAAGCGGAGCAAGAUAGGAGAAGAUGUGACCCUCUAGCACAUUGCUGUCCCCAUCCAAGCCACCGGGAGCCAGGACUUUGACAGUGAGAAGCACAGUGAGCUAAGCUGAGUCUAGAGGGAGGAAGGGGCAGGGCCCAGGGCAUCGCACAGCUAGAGAAAGGCACGGUCUUUCUGAGGCUGCUAGAUAGUAUCUUGUGGCUAGGUUUCUGUGGCGAUAAACUGGGUAUGAAAAGCCACAGGGAGGGGCUGGAGAGAUGGCUCAGAGGUUAAGAGCAGAUACCACUCUUGAGAGGAGCAAGUUUUGGUUCUCAGGUGACUCAUGACUGCUUGUAACUCCAGCUCCAAGGGAUCCAACACCCGUGAGCCUCCUAGGGCCCCUGUGCACACUCGGCACACAGGCACACACGACACACACAAUAAAAAGAAACGAAUCUUCAAAUGGCAAAGCCGUGGUGAACCCAGCCCCUUCCUCUAACUCAGUGACCCAGAUGUAGUACUUGCAAUGUGGCUCCCACAAUCCCUAGAGCUUUCCCUCCCACAGUCCCUAGGGCUUUCCCUUUUUCAGUUGGGCCUGGCACACAGAGCACAGCAAGGAAACAAAGGGCUGUCGUGCCAUCAACAUGGUGUUGUGCCAGAACCUGCCAUGACCAUUCACAAGUGACCAUGACUGCUCACCCGAGGAGUGGGUUUCUGGAAGCACCCCAGGCAUUCAGAGAAAUUUGCUACAGAGAUGAUCUACAGCGCACACACCAAGAAGAACAAGGAUCUUCCAUGUUGUGCCUGUGUGCACCUGUCCAGAAAAGAGUCUGAGGAGACACUGAGCAUGCUCUACAACGUGCCUGUGCCCCUGCUUCCAUGUGCACCAGCACGGAUGAGAACUAACUUCUGAGUAUCAAGAUAAUAAACCAAAACAGAGAGAAAGAGAAGAAGUGAGAAAGAAAAGUGUCAUUGAGCCUCCUGUCACCUGGUUUUGGAUGCCCUUCGAAGACCCAUGAGCUAAAAGUGUGGCUCCCCAGUCAGCGAUGCCAUUUAGGAGGCGGGAGGAACUUUAGUGGGGCCUAGUAUGUGGUCUUCGGAUCAGUAGAUCCUUGAAGCGGAUAGGACAGUGAGUCCGCAGCCCCCUCCUCUCCCGUUUUCUGCCACUUCCUCUCAGAAGCAUAAAGACAAGAGGGCUGCCUAAUCGCAGCGGGAGAUCACAAUGGUGAGCCACCAUGAACCUUUCUUCUUCACAGGGUGAUAUGGCACCUGUUCAUUACAGUAACAGAAAGCUGACUUGCAUAGCAGCCCAUGUGGGGUGGGAUGGGGUGGGCUGAUGGGAAGGACACACUGUUCUCAGUUCUCUUCUGCUAGAAAUCCUCUGUUGCUCAAACCAGGCCAGGCCCAAGCAACCUCACAGUUCCAACCCUGAAUCACCGCUGACCCACAAGCCUUCAGGCUUGUUCAAGUCAGACAGAGACUUGGAUUUCCUAAGGAGAUACUGUAGGGUGGGUUUUAACAGUAUUCUCAGUUAUGUUUUUUUUUUAAAUAUAUUUUAACGCACAUGCUCUGUGUGUGUGUGUGUGUGUGUGUGUGUGUAUGUGCACAUAGACAUGUGAGUGUAGGUGUUCCUGGAGGCCAGAAGAGGGUGUUGGGUCACCUAGAGCUGGAAUCACAGAUGACUAUGACUUGCCUGAUGUGGGUGCUGGGAACUGAACUUGGGUGCUCUGUAAAAGUGCCAAGUGCUUUUAAUCACGGAGCUAUUUCUCCAGCCCCUCAGGAUUUCUCUUAACAAUUAAAAUAAAACCACGCCUUUAUUAUUUCUUUUGUGUGUUGUGGGGUGUGCCACAGCUCGAGUGUGGAGGUCAGAGGGCUGAAUGCAGGAGUCAGUUCGUUCUUUACAUGAUAUGGGCUCCAGGGAUAGAACUCAGAUUAUCAGGCUCAGCGGCAAGCACCGUUGCCAGAGAAGCCAUCUUGUCAGAUCUUGCUCAGGCCUUUUCCUGCUCUGAGCAAGAGUGUAAAGCAGGUAACAUGGCCUGGUGGCCACAUUUGUAGCCACAGAAGCACAUGUGGAAGAGGUUGGAUCCGCCCUUCUUAGGGUCAGCAUGGCAUCCUCUCUGUUCUUUCACUCGGUGGGGCUGUGGUUCCAUCGAGCAGAAGCUGUGGACCAACCAGCAAGAGAAAAACACCCUCAUACGUGUGGUGGCUCGGCUGGCUUAGAGGGACUGAAAUAAAAGGUUCCAGGGCCAGAGGGUGGGGGAGGGAGACCACGGUACCAGAAAACUCAGUGCCCAAAGGGAAAAAGGCAGGGUUGGGUUUAUAUCGCUGACAUGAACAGAGCUACAAAAUAUAAUAAUAUAAAAGAAAUUACGUUUAAACAGUAGCUAUAAAAGAAUCGGGUGACAGUUAGAUCCGAAGAUCCAGACUGUAUCAGCGAAAACCAAACAGCUACAAAUAAAACCCCGUUCUUCGUGGUGGUGCAGGAGUUAUUAUUCUAUUCUAAUGUAAAUGAUAAAACAAAAUUGCUCUGAAUAGUCAAAAAGUCAUACAUGUAUAAUUUGUAUCAAUCAGUAAGUCAGUCAAUCAUCUAUCAGCAACAACUAAGAAAAUUAAAACUAGGCAGGUUUGUCAUUUUAGCACACUUAAUUUUCUUACCUUUUUUUUUUUUUUUAAAGACAAGAUCUCACUGGGUAUAAGGGAAUAAUACCAGCACCAGGGAGGCAGAGGCAGGCUGAUCUCAGUGAGUCUGAGAGUUCCAGGACAGCCAGAGCUACACAGUGAGACCCUGCCUCAAAAACAAAACAAAACACAAGACCUCAUAUGUAGCCAUGGCUGUCCACCCUAAUGCUAGGAUUAAAGCCAUGCUAUGCCACAUCACAUCUAGACAUUUUUCUUAUCCUUUCUGUCCCUGUUGCUUUCUCUCCCACUUCCAGACUUGGGUCUGUGUGACUGUGUGUGUAUACAUGUAUGCAUGGGUGCACUCGUGUUUGCAGAUGUGCACGUGUGCAUGGAGGUCAGACGGUCAACCCCAGGUAUGAUAGCAUUCCAGGGAACUGGUUGCCUUUCUUUUUUUUUUUUUUUUUUUUUUUUUUUGUUGUUCUUUUUUUUCCGGAGCUGGGGACCGAACCCAGGGCCUUGCGAACCCAGGGCCUUGCGCUUCCUAGGCAAGCGCUCUACCACUGAGCUAAAUCCCCAACCCCACUGGUUGCCUUUCUUAAAACACAUAUUGUGACAGCACACCUGUGGAAUUGGUCAAGGACAAUUUGCAGGUGUCAGUUCUCUCCCUAUACCACUCAGGUUUCAGGACUUGAACUUGAAUGGGCAGACUUGGCAGCAAAUGCCUUUACCUGCUGAGGCUUCUUGCUGGCGCUGGCUACCCUGUUUCUUGAGAGAGAGUCUCUCACUGGCUGGCCAGUGAGCCCCAGGGAGUCUCCUGUCCCUGUGUCUCCUCCUCUGAGAUUAAUCAUUCUUCCCGGUAUGUUUUACAUGGGUCCUCACUCAUGCCCAGCAGGAACACUCUCCCCAGCCCUUCUUUAAGCUUCCCGGUAUGGUAGCUCAUUUGUUUGGAUAGAGUAAAGUUAGCCAUCUUUCCUUGCUGCUUGCUUUCUUGCCUCUAGGGAGGGAGCAGAUAGCAUUCAUCAACCACCUCUUGUGUGUUCAGACUGAGCUGGGCAGGGGGUUGGCAAAGACCAAGUGUUCUUGGAGACUGGCUGCUCCCCCCUCCCAAGUGAUCCUUCCCUCCUGUGCAGGGCCCUCGGUGUUUCUGCACAAACUGGAGUCUGUACCCCUGGGAGGGGUGUGGGAGAACCAGGGCCACUGGACAGGGUUGUCAGCAGCCUUCCCCUGGCUGUUUCCCUCCCUACCCGGACAACUCUGUAGCUCUCAUCUUCCAAAAGUGCCAGCUCUCCCAAGGUGUUAACUAGAGGCUGAGACCCCUCCCAGGGGUGAUUAGCACAUUUGCAUUUUGAAGGAUAACACUUUUUUUUUCUUUUCUUUUUUCUUUCUGGGGUUCUGCGGUUCUGGGGAUGAAGCCGUGUCUGAGGCCCGGUCAGGCAACAGCUCAACCACUGAGCUAUCCAUCCCUUCCCUUCAGCAACACCAUCAGGCUUGGGAUAAUAGUUUAAAACACACUGUGUGUGUGUGAGUGUACGUGUGCGUGCGUAUGUGUGUGUACACUCGUGUGUGACUGUGUUGGUGAGUCAGGAAGAAAGUUCCACCAUGCUGCCACCUCCCCUGAACCAGGGUUCAGCCAUCUGGAAUGUAGGCUCUCCUGCUCCUGGGUCUUCCUGAUAGAUGGCUGUCUUUUCUCAGGGUUCCCUACACUCUAUACCUGCUGUGCAGAGCCUCCAAUCCCACCAGGACACUGGGAACUAAGGCAGAGAGACCCCACCCCCACCCCACAGGACGCUCUGUCCUCUGGACCAUGAGGGCAGGAAGCUGAGCUCAGUUCGCUGGAGUCCUGAAUUCCCCAGGUCUGAGCAAGCCUCCUCUUCAAUUCAAGUGGGCUUUGAGCACCAGGGCAGCCUGGGAGACUAGCAGCUGCCAGCACAGCGGAACGGAAAAGCUGCAGUGAGGGGAAAAAACCCACUGUGAGGGUGCUGACUGAUUUUUUUUUUUUUUUAAGAUAAUUCAAACACCGCGGCUGGAUUAUUUCAGAACGAGGGGGAGCACUCUGCUCUGGCUUCCAUGAGGCAGCCUUUGGCGAGGGGCUGUUUCUAUAACAAUUAUCCACCCAUAAUAAACAAGGGGAGCUUGCCAGUGUCAUGAAGCAGUGGCACAAAAGGUCCUGUUAGACAGACAGGCGGAAGGCUCUGUCCCUACGUCAGGCUUGCUGGACCUGGCUCAGCCCUACCUCUCUGUAGUCUUGUUGCCCACCUUCAGGAGUAUCCCUCCAGCCCUGUAUCCCACGCUAUCUGGGAUGUGGGAGGGUCCUUGUAAGCCCCCACCCUCUGCAAGGGCCACACCCCCCUCUGGUCCGCAGUGGUGUCUCCGCCUUCCGUGGCUGUUCCUGCCAGCUCAGCAAAUCCACAGGGACAAGGCUCUCUGCACCUUCUAUAGACCAUGGAUUGGCAACACUUUGAAAAUGCUUCCCCUUUCUCUGAAUUCCUAAGUAUCGUGGAAUCUCUCUGAAUCCACACACUGCCCUCCCCUCCCGCUUCUGCCACAGGUCUCGGGGAGCAUGCUCAGGUGGUGUUUGGAGGGAGGCCACGCUCUGGCCCCAGAUGGAGUGGGCUGCACACCGGAAAUGAAUAGAGGCUGUGAGCGGAAAAUUGCGCAGGCCAAUUAUAGCAAGCCAGGUCUUCUCAGAGGAGCUUCUCGAUUCUGAUUCAAUUCCCAGAACAACAAAUAUGCCAGUGUUUAAACACAGUCCCAGCCAAAGCCACACUACUGGCCCCUGAGUGGACAGCUCUCAGGUGGAGGUGGGGGAGAACAGGGGCCUUAAAUGCUGGGCCUUGCUCCUCAAAGGUGCCUGCGGUCAGUGUGAGCACUUCAUUUUCAAUCUAUUUUGCUCCUCUUGGGAAAACCUUUUAAUUCUGAGGCCCCUCUAUCUUCCUUACUCAUUGCCCCCCCCAAUCCCAUUUUUCUGGGAGAUCUUACAGAUUUCUCUGGCUCACUAAUUCAAGCUUCCUAUUUUGUCUGAUUUGGGGGAUUUCACGUUGUCUCUAGAUGUGUACUGGUGACAUGCACACAAAGUUUAUUCUGUACGCAGCACUAUGCCGAACCUUUUUCAUAUAAACUCAUCAGGAGACCUAGUAUUACUGGAUGGGGACUGCCCCUAGAUGGGAGAGCAACACUAGGCAUUCCAGGGUCACAUGACAGCUCUCUGGUCCUAGUAGUGCCACCUUAGAUUUGUCACCAAAGGUCCCAAUCCUCCACUUAGUUGCAAAAUGGGGUCACUGAUGCUCACCUCUGAGCCUUGUGUCAACCCUGCAGGAAGAACGUAGCGAAGGGUAUCUAUCCUUCCUGCUUCCCUGUGUCACAAGGACUUCCUGGCGGCCCUAUGCGGUAUAUGUUUGAAAUUGUUUCUUUAGGAAAGGAAAUGGGGUAUUACUCCAGGGCUAGGCACCCCCUAGGAGAUCAAUAAAUACUUCCUAAAGCAAGGGUCUACCCUCGACUCCCUAGUCCCCAUCUGUGAGACAGCUGGCAGCGGGAGGGAGCAACUGUGCCAGCCAGUGCCAUUUGGCAUCUGAAAAACAAGCUGGAAGCUUGGAUCACAUUUUAUUCAAAUUAGUGCGAGAGAGAGAGACCAAAUUCAGAUACUCCCUAAAGGCACAAGUAUGACAGAGCCAAACCAUGACCACACAGGCCUGACAGAUAGGGCGGGAGGGAGCAGAUGGAGGGUAACAUCAGGGUGGAGUCAUACCAGCUGAGAUCGCAGGUACCGCGUACCUUGCUGUAGUCAAGGUAAAUCUCACAAAGGAUAGGGUCCCCAAUAAUGCCAGCACCCAAGCAUAUUCCUAAGGGUGACUUAGUAACUUGAAGCACCCAGUAAACGACAUAACUGAUGAAGACUUGUGACCCAGGGACCAACCUCCAGAAAGGACUAUGCUGACCUACUGAGUACUGAGGCUUUGGGGACCAUACCCCAGUACUUGCCUCAGGAGACCUCAGCACUACAAGGUAGGGAGCCUCAGUUCUAUGGACAUGAUAUGCACUAGGGGUUUCCACUGUAUCGUUCUGGUCUUUGCUCAGAUGCCCAUGAGCCUCCCCAUUAUACCUGCCUCAGGUCUAUGCUGAAACCCAAGCUUCUGGAAAGGUCCCAAUGAUGUUGCUUCCAUGGUCACCUUGACUGAAUUUGGAGUCACCUAGGGAAUGUGGCUGGGGAUGUAUCCACAAGAGUUUUCUAGAGAGGCUUAACUGAGUGUAGGCAGUACUGUCCACAGGUCAGGGUUCCAAGUCGAUAACAAUACUGGGCACCAUCAGAAUUCUUUUGCUUCUUGACUACAGACACAGUGUGGUCAGCCUCCUCACAUUUUACCCUUGUCUUCUUAGCUGUGGGACAAUAAAAAUCUACAACUGUAGCCAUUUUUUUUUUUUUUUGGUUCUUUUUUUCGGAGCUGGGGACCGAACCCAGGGCCUUGCGCUUCCUAGGCAAGCGCUCUACCACUGAGCUAAAUCCCCAACCCCUGUAGCCAUUUUUUAGCUUUACAGUUCAGCGUUGUUAAGUGCAUAUACACGGCUGGGCCUCCACCCUUCCCCCACAGGACUCUACUCACCUCCCAAACUGAAGCUCUAUCCCGACUCACGACUCACAUCACACCAACAAACCCACCCUCAGCACCAGUAGCCGCCUCCCCUUCCCAUCUCCCUGGGUUUGCCAGCUCUAGCUACCUCUCUUGAGAGGAAUCCCACAGUGUUUGUUCUGGUUUCUGUCACCCAGCAUCUUAACCUCAGGGUUUCUCCCUGUGGUAGGCUGUGUCACAACAUCUAGGCGUUAGGAGGCCACAUGAAGCGAGUGGUGUAUGCAGCACAUUUCACUUAGCCUCUUGUCCUGUAGGCACUUGGGUGGUGUCCUCCUUCAGCCACUGUGAACACUGCUGCCGUGCAUAUGUGCAUGCAGUAUCUGUGCGAGCCCCUGCUUUUAACCCUUGCCAUUUCGCCAGAAUAAGUGGCUAUAAAACCCACCAUCUGGAAAUGCUAAACAAAGGGGUAAUUCUUCAGGAAUAUCCGGUGAAGCUGCCACACUCUUCUCUACAGCAGCCACACGUCCUGUAUUUUUGCCAGCAGUGCACAGUGGUCUGGUCCGGGUUUCCCGCAUCCUCGCCAACACUGGGGGUUUUCUGCUGCCUUAGGGCAGCCACCCUGAUGGGUGACAUCCUCGUUAGUCCUGCUCCCUCCACCUUGUCCUAUUUUCCUUCUCAGUAUCUAACAGAUUAUGUCAUUCGUGCCAGGUGGUUUUCAUGUCAACUUGACACAAGCUAGAGUCAUCAGAGAGGAGGGAGUCUCAACUGAUAAAAUGCCUCCAUAAAGACCAGACUAUGGGCAACCCUGUAGGGCAUUUUCUUAGUGACUGAUGUGACAGGGACCAGCCCACUGUGGGUGGUACCAUCCCUGGGCUGGAGGUCCUGUAUACUAUAAGAAAGAAGGCUGAACAAGCCAUGGGGAGCAAGCCAGUAAGCAGCAUCCCUCCGUGGCCUCUACAUCAGCUCCUGCCUCCAGGUUCCUGGCCUGUUUGAGUUUCUGUCCUGACUUUGAUGAUGAACAGUGAUUUAGAAGGAUAAGCCACAGAAACCCUUUCCUCCCCAGCUUGCUUGGUCAUGGUGUUUCAUUGCAGCAAUGGUAGCCCUGACUAAGACACCCUUCCAUAUUUACUGGCUUGCUCAUGUUUUACUGUACGUUUCUCACUUGUGCUAAAUGAGAGCUCAGGAGAGGGAUGCUUGGAUGCUUUGCCCAUUACUGUUUUCUAAGGGCCUGAAACUGUACAGGCACAGAGCAAAUACCCAGGGGUGUUAUGAAGGAAGGAAGGAAGGAACAAAAGAAAGAAUGAAUGAAUGAAUGAAUGAAUGAAGGCAGGCUUGUUAGAGUGCAUUUUGGAGGAAGACACAGCUAGCUUUAACUCCUGGCUCCAUUAAUCACUCCUUGGGGUCUUUGGGCAAGUGACCUUUCUCUGAGGUUCAGCUAUUCCAUCUGUCAAGGGGACAAAGUCCUCUAAGUCCCUUGCUGGGCUUCCGUGAGGAAGAUGGACAUUCAGUCACUCCUUGGAUGUGACCAACAUCUAUUGUCACUAUUAGCUGUUCUGGUGUGUGUGUGUGUGUGUGUGUGUGUGUGUGUGUGUGUGUGUGUGUGAGAGAGAGAGAGAGAGAGAGUGUGUGUGUGUGUGUGUGUGUGUGUGUGAGAGAGAGAGAGAGAGAGAGAGAGAGAGAGAGAGAGAGAGAGUGUGUACAGUUAGCACAGAGGACUAUGUUAGGGUUGUGAUAAAGUUUUUCCCUUUGGGAUCUGUUGGAGUCUCAGGGUAAAACUUCCUAUGCGGAGGCUCAGACUGGCACUUCAAACAAGCUACAGGAAGGUGGGAGUGGGUCAGUCUGUCUUCGAGGAUGCUACUGGUGGGGGCGUCCAGAUAGGCAAACUGCUCUGGGACCUGGUGGGUGCCAGGAGCUUCCUCCUGCUGCCACUUGUGCCUGUGUGGGAGGCUACGAGAUAGCUGCCACAGGGGGCUGUGUGACGGAGCCGCGGCAGCGUGGGAGGUGACCAGCAACACACUGAGGAAGUGUGGCCAUCCAGGUCCCUCAGGAAUGCCGCUACAGCAGCCGAGAGCAAGCCAGGGACAGAUGGUAGGGUACUCAGGCAGCCACCUGUCCCAGCACCAGCUACCCACUCCUCAGUGCGUUCACCCGGCCUGUGAAAGGGGCCCUCAGGCAAAGCUGUUUGCAGCAAGAAUCCAAACUGCGGGCGAUGGAGACAUCCAGCAUGGUGAGGCAGAUGGCAGCCUGCGGUGACACAGGCUGCCAGCCAGGGAGGCAGGUGCUGAGGUGCUGGGCUCAGCAGUCACAGGCAGUUUGAUGGGGGAGGGGGUGGCCCUGAUUCUCUUGGUCAUCUUCAGGCUGUGAGGUUCAGCUCUGCCAGUGGAUGACCCCAUUGGAGUACCACUUGCCUUCAUCCUGGGUGGGCUCCAACAAAGGGCACUUUCCGAUCUUCACUUUUCCUAUUCUCAGAUUUCUCUUAUAGCCAAUCAACAAACAGGAGAGCGAGUGAGGGAUGUGGGUGUACCCUGGGUUCAGUGGGCUUGUGGGCCCCCCCCCCCCAGUCAGGAUCACCAGUGAUAAGAUUGGGAAGCAGAACAGAGGUAUGUUGCUGGGUUGAGGCUGUGAAAUGGUCAGAGGAGGCACAUUUCUUUGCAAAGUCCCCUUUGGAUCAAAAAGCAUUUCUUAAACACCUUUCUAUGCAAACCACUACGGGAACCUCAGCGUGUGUCAGCCCGUGCGGGCUCUGCCUGGGCCUAAUCAGGGUUGUGUGUGUGUAAGCACAAGAGACUUCCAGGGUAAAGAAGAGUGUUCUAAUUGUACUAAUCAGCUUUCAAUUACUUACUCAUUGCUGUUCACCCCCUUCUUAGCUCAUCCCCUUGGAUAACAAAGCCUGCAGCUUCAGCUUCUACCUGUUAGAGGCUGGGGAAUGGUUCCAAGAAUACAGGGGGAUCUAGAUUCUAAUUAACCUUUCCACUGAUUGCAGGACAACUUUGGGUGAAUCAUGGCUUUUUUUUUUUUUUUUUUUUUUUGGCUUUUGUUUUUGUUUUUGUUUUUGUUUUUGUUUUUUUUUGAUGGAUGGGGAAGAAAGGCUACACAGUAAAUGAAUUUUCAGUUUGCUACCUUUAUUCUCAUGUUUAGAGCCUCCAAUACGGUCUCAUCCAACCCCAAGUGACAUACUGAUGGAGACCUGUGAGAAGUGGAACUGAAGACCCCCAGCAGGAGCGAGCAGGGCUGUAGCCAGGCUCACCCAGCACGUGGUGGAGGGGAUUAAAUGUGUGACGCCACAUCCAGACCUGGACCAGCAGAGCUGUCUGUGGCACACGGAGCCAUCCUUUGUCUUUCAUCCCUGCCAGCAUCCUCAAGAGAUUUCCAGACAUAGCUGAGCUGGCAACGUAAACUGUAUCUGGGAUUUACUUCAGUCAGGUUCCCACCUCGGGGAGCAGGGCCAGGGGGUGCCAAGGAGAUGGCGCACACAGGGUCUAAUGUCCUUAGGUUCUGACCCCUCUCUAAUGGCCACAGAGAAUCACAGGUGCCACCUCUGAGGUAUAGUGUCACAGGUAAGAGUUCCCAGCAGAGAGCAGGUGUGAGAGGUUCUCAUAUUGUUUCCAGGUCAGCCUGGUGUACAGGUUCGGCACAUCGGAAGACUAACGAUUGUGUGUAUGUUGUGUGUGUGAUGGGUGUGAUGGGUGUGUGUGUGAUGGGUGUAUGGGUGUGUGUGUGUGAUGGGUGUGUGUGUGUGAUGGGUGUGUGUGUGUGUGUGAUGGGUGUGUGUGUGUGAUGGGUGUGUGUGUGUGUGAUGGGUGUGUGUGUGAUGGGUGUGUGUGUGUGUGUGUGUGUGUGUGUGUGUGUGUGUGAGACGGGGACAACAAGGACUUGAGCCUAGGAAAACUGCCAGCAGUGGGCAGGGCAGGGACAAUUCUGGAGACAUCAACUCAUGGGAAACAUGGAAACUGCAUGCAUGAAUGUGCAUGCCGGGUUUCAGAGGGAAACGGAGAGCCAUUCAGUGUCUUGAAAAGAUGAAUACUGGCUUGGGAAACUGAGCCUGGAGAACAGACCAGGUGGGCUGAGGCAGGAGGAUUGAAAGCUAGGGGCAAACAAACAAAUAGUAACCCCAGGGGAAGGCUGUAGAACUGGAUAGGAAGGGACAGAAUGGAAAUGGGAGAGAGGGGCAGCAUCAGUUGGCUUCUCUGGAACAUAACUGGGAAUCACAUGAAGUCAAAGACGAGCAUAGAUAAUAGCCCAAGAGAAACUCUCUUCUCUGUUCUCAAGGAUAACUGAGUAGCUAGUGGAGAAUUGUUCCUAACAGCAAAGGCACAGAGACCUGGAAAUCACCAAUGGGAGAAAAAGGACAAGAGGGAGAUUUCGGGGGAAAGGGUCCACAGCAGGAGACAGGUAGGACAAACACAUCUGUAUGCAUUGGCAUGCUCAAUUUCAGAAUCAUGGCUUUGAAUCAAAGCAGCCAGCACAGAAAAUGAGUGCAGGACACUGCAUUGGAAGGCAGAUGUGUCAUGACCACACGACUUAGGUACUGGCUAGUUCCUAUCUGCUCUACUGUGACCCUUUAGACACAAAUGUCUGGAGAAGUUGUUUUUGAGAUGGAGUCUUGCUGUGUUCAGGAAAAGCUUUAGCUUCUAGACUUUAGCAAUUCUCCUGCUUCAGCCUCUUGAGUCGCUAGAAGUAUGGGUGCAUGCCGUCAUGACCAUCUUCCAUGAGUAGAUAUCAAGAUUCCUAUAAUUGUUUAUUUUAAACUAUGAAGUGAGUAUGGAUAUGCACACAUGGGCACAAAGUGCCUGCAAAUGUUAGAAAGGUCAGAACCCCAGGAGCCUGGAUUACACAAGGUUGUGAACUAGGAUGCAGAGAUGCUCGUCAGUUAAGAGAGCUGGCUGCUCUUCCAGAGGACCUGGGUUCAACUCCCAGCACCUACAUGGCAGCUCACAACGGUCUAUAACUCAAAGGUCUGACAUCUUUGCACAGACAUACAUCCAGGCAAAACACCAAUGCACACUAAAUAAAAAUCAAUAAACAAACAAACGAAUGAAUGAAUGAAUAAAUAAACAAAUAAAUAUUGUGAAUGGCCCAACCUGGGUUCUGGGAACUGAACUUGGGUUCUCUGCAAAAGUAACCAUGCACACUCUUAGCCAAUGAGCCAUCUUUCCCAGCC